Molecule: ribosomal RNA, 254 nt
Filed under: uncultured bacterium
Lineage: Bacteria
Description: partial 16S ribosomal RNA
Rfam family: Bacterial small subunit ribosomal RNA
Source: RNAcentral
UACAGGGGGGGCAAGCGUUGUUCGGAUUUACUGGGCGUAAAGGGCGCGUAGGCGGCCACCGCGAGUCGACUGUGAAAUCUCCGGGCUUAACCCGGAAAGGUCAGCCGAUACUGCGGGGCUAGAGUGCAGAAGGGGCAACUGGAAUUCUCGGUGUAGCGGUGAAAUGCGUAGAUAUCGAGAGGAACACCUGCGGCGAAGGCGGGUUGCUGGGCUGACACUGACGCUGAGGCGCGAAAGCUAGGGGAGCGAACGGG